GGAGGCGGGGCUGCUGUUGCUGGGCUCUUUGGUCUGGCUAGAUAGUGAGGGCAGGCCAGGAAAAAUCUUCAGGGCGUUAUCUAGAGUGAUCUCUUGAGCAUCUUCGGACUCCUAUAAGCGCUUUCAUUUCCAGGUGGCCAAGAAGUGGGAGCGCUCGGGAAAAGCAGAAAAGGAUCGGGAAGCCAGAUUGGACUGCCAGCCGAGGCGGGCCCCACGAGGCACUCGGGAACUCGGCGCGGAGACAAGUGAAGAGGAGGAGGAGGGGCUGCGUUGUGUUUUUUCUUACGGGGCGCUCUGGCUUCGGGCCCAAGCCCUUCUCUUAGGAUGUCAAGGACCGAUCCGUCAGAGACUAUAGGAUGCUCAGAAACUAUUGUUGGCUGAAUAGGCAAAUCCCAGGGAUUCCCUGAAUCCGUCCUAAUGGUGACUGAUGUGGCCAAAGGCUUGUCUGGGCAGUGUCCGCCUCAGUAGUGACUCCCGUUUGCAUCGUGUGGUGCAAAGCAUUCCUUACCCCGGUGCAGCGAGGGAGGCGGCUCGAGGACUGCCGUUUCCAUCUGGCAGCUUAGUGUUAAUUUUGACGAUUUAGUCCUUGAAGAUUCACAAAGAGCUUCACUAUAUUGUCUCAUCUGGUCCCCGCCUAGCAGAAGAGGUGCCAUUGGGACCCCGUUUUACACUUGAGAAGAUGCAGGGCUUACCUAAUUGGCCCAAGGUCACCUGAUGAAGAUGAAGCAAAUCUGCCAAACCACCUGCUUGCAACCCAAAGUGGCCUAAGAAGCUCACAGAAGGUUCCCAGGUGUGGGAUCCACAAGGCUCUGACUCUGCUCCAGCUCCUUGCCCCAGGCUCCCUGUGCUGUGCUCUGGGCUCUGCAGAUUGUUCGUCUGAAACAGACUUGUUCUGAAGUUCUUCCAAGGUACCUUCUUCUGGGAAUGUGUUGUACUCCAGAUAUUUGUGGGUUCUGUGACUCCAAAACCAGUUCAGAGGCUUAAUUUGCUGUUUGGUUUCAGAGAAAGUCAGAGGAGGUCACAGAGUGGUGUUUGUUCUCAGCCAUCUUGGCUACCCCCUUCUCCCC
This 1067-nucleotide long non-coding RNA is filed under the name Sarcophilus harrisii (Tasmanian devil). RNAcentral's name for it is "lncRNA (ENSSHAG00000025528.1)". The record is from RNAcentral. Lineage: Eukaryota; Metazoa; Chordata; Mammalia; Dasyuromorphia; Dasyuridae.